UCUACCUGAGAGCUAUCUUCAUGAACACAUCGAAUAGAGAAGAAAUUCUCACAUAUCAAAGAUGCAGUGGAGUCUGUAUCUGCUUAUUCUGAUGGGUCAGUGUUGCUUCUUUACAUGCCGCCUGUAUGAGUACCACUUUAUUGCAGAAAACAAGAGCUGGUAUGAAGCACAGAGAUACUGCAGAGAGAAUUAUACAGACCUGGCCAAAGUGUUUGACAUGACAGACAUGAGCAGACUCCGUAACUCCACACAGAAUCAAGGAGAAGCCUGGAUUGGACUGAACAACAACACAGAUGGAAACAAGGCGUGGCAUUGGUCUCUGCCAGGAGUGGAAUACAUUCAAAAUGACAGCAGCUGG
Long non-coding RNA from Oreochromis niloticus (Nile tilapia), 358 nucleotides. RefSeq lists it as uncharacterized. The record is from RefSeq and is a predicted model, not a curated record. NCBI's taxonomy places the organism in Eukaryota, Metazoa, Chordata, Actinopteri, Cichliformes, Cichlidae. The transcript is spliced from 3 exons.